GACGAACGCUGGCGGCGUGCUUAACACAUGCAAGUCGAACGGAAAGGCCUCUUUCGGGGGGUACUCGAGUGGCGAACGGGUGAGUAACACGUGAGUAACCCGCCCUUUACUUUGGGAUAACUUCAGGAAACUGGGGCUAAUACCUGAUAGGAGCUCCUGCCUCAUGGUGGGGGUUGGAGAGUUUCGGCGGUUGGGGGAGGAUUGGCGGCGUAUCAGCCUUUUGGUGGGGUAGUGGCUUACCAAGGCGUUGGCGGGUAUCCGGACUGAGUGUGUGACCGGCCACAUUGGGACCGACAGACGGCCCCGAUGCCGACGGGAGGAAGAAGUGGGGAAUAUUGCACAAUCGGUGGAGGCCUGGUGCAGAAGGGCCGUGUGCGGGAUGACGGCCUUCUGGUUGUAAAACGCUUUCGCUCAUGACGAAGCUUUGUGUGACGGUAGUGGGUAAAGAAGCACCGGCUAACUACGUG
Molecule: ribosomal RNA, 467 nt
Filed under: uncultured bacterium
Lineage: Bacteria
Description: partial 16S ribosomal RNA
Rfam family: Bacterial small subunit ribosomal RNA
Source: RNAcentral